This 210-nucleotide long non-coding RNA is filed under the name Brassica napus (rape). RNAcentral describes it as "long non-coding RNA (BNAP_LNC005398)". The record is from RNAcentral. Lineage: Eukaryota; Viridiplantae; Streptophyta; Magnoliopsida; Brassicales; Brassicaceae.
UCGAAGUUCAAAUGACGUUGUCUGACAAAAAGAAACAAACCUUAACUUCAUAAUCUAAACCAACAGCCGUUUUAGAAAUAUAGAAAGGAGCCGUGCCAGCCUGCAAGCUUUGUACCCAUAUUAACCAUCCUAGCCGUCAACGCUUCGGGUCCAAUGUGGUCAGAAUGUCUUCCGUAGAUGUAUGUCAAUUUGCACACAGUAUAUCAACGG